RNAcentral lists this long non-coding RNA (233 nucleotides) under Ailuropoda melanoleuca (giant panda). RNAcentral describes it as "lncRNA (ENSAMEG00000026705.1)". Lineage: Eukaryota; Metazoa; Chordata; Mammalia; Carnivora; Ursidae. The record is from RNAcentral.
GUACCUUCCUGAUUUCUCAGCUACACUUGUCAAAUCUUUGACCUCAAGGAGAGAUACUCAAUUUCGGUUAUAUUCUAAAGGCUUCUAACCCUUCCAAGGGUGUGAAAAGCCUCUGUAGAUCUUAGCAGCUCUCUGCAAUUGGAGAAAGCUCUCUAAGCCUCUGCCGACUCUGUCCACGGAUGAACUUGUCCAGGCCCUUCUUGGCCCAUGAAGGAAGUUGGAAUAGCAAACAG